CAGCUGCAGUAAUCGACAAUAAAAACAUCUAUUUUUAACUCUGAACACACAUUUUGUGAACCUAUGUGGAUUUAAACGGAGUUUUUAGGUAGGGAAGAGUGGGGUAGGUUGAGCCACCCCCUGUUGCUUGGAAAUGGUCAAAGAAAUUGAUCGUGACCAAAUAUUUAGGAGAUGGCAUCAAUUCAUGGAGUCUGUGAGGGUUAGAAGCACAGACUGUAUACACUAUGAACAACUUGGUUCCGCCUUCUGCCAGUAUAUGGAAUUGAAGCCGAAAAGCUCAAGGGAAUUCCGCGUUUUUUCCCCAUGUUAAACCAUUGCGCAGUAGCGUUGUGCGCAUUCGGCGGGAGAGUCGCCGAGAGUUGCUGUGAUGACGCUCGGCUCAAACAGUAUUCUCCAGGUGAGCAACACAAUCUUCGUACGCCCAUAGACUUUAUCAAGUGUCAAUCAUAGAAAACAUGAACCCCCUAAUAACUUUUAAAAAUGGAGCUGCACAGAAAAAAAGAGGACUUGAGCACAAACCAGUCUUACAAUAACUACAUGUCAACAUCACAAGCAGGGGGGAGAAAAAUGUAUAUUCUGUCUAAUAAAUUUCUAAAGAUUGUCCACAACUCAAUAAGCUUUGCUGGUGGAGGCAGGAUUUAUGACCUGUACUGCAGCCCGUCACCAGAAGGUGCUGUUCUCGGAGUGGCUUCACCCAACAAGGAGGCAGACGGCGUCCAUUCAGUGUACAGUCUAUGGUUAGAAGCAUAUAGGUGAAGAGGUUAGACAUUAAUUUCCAAAAGAACAUUUUCACUUUUGAAAAGGAAUUUAGUCAGUCAUAAGUUCUACUAGAAUUGUGUUCAGACCAAAAAAGAUCAUUAAGGGAUACGGGAUAUGGCUCAACUUACCCCACUCCUAUGGUCAACUUACCUCAUACACGGGAUAAGUUGACCAUAGGAGACCACUUUUUUUUGGCAUGCUAUAUUAUCAAGACAGUUAUGUUUAUACUCAUUCUGUUGGUUUGCAGGGAUGAACAACAUCUUGAAAUAUAUGCAGAUACAUGAGUUAGAGACAAAAUUAUGAAAAAUGUCUCAUCUUACCGCAAUCUCCCCUACUUGUCUUGUGUGAAUUCUCCAUUCAAGAAGAACGUGCAUGCUUCCCCCUGCUUAUUCAUUUUACAGCGGCACCAGUACUGUUUAAGAUUAAUAUCCAUAUCUUUUGACUCACUAUUGAAACUCACAAUGUGAUAAAUCCAGGGGCGGAACCUGACUUUUUUGACAGGGGUGGCCAAACCAUGAGUACAGACUAAUGCAAUGGUGACAUGUGCACACACAUUUUAGUUGUCACUUUUACAUCCGGCGCCCGCUGUGUGAAUAGAUAAUUAACCUUUGGAGUACUGUGUACAUUUUAGGACAUCCUCAAGUCUCAGACCUCAGAUGAAACGGCCUCAGAUUUGCUAUUGAAAUGAUCAAAACAACAAAUUGUUUUAAAUCCCUUUGACACUAUUUGUUCUUUAGGCUGACAUUACAUGAAAUAUUACUUAUUUCUGACAAAAAGUUAGAAUACAUUUUUCCACUGUGGAUAAUAUAUAUUUUUUUACCCUUAAAGAGAUAUAUCCAUUGCUCCACAUGCAGUUAUUUGGAGGUCUUGCAUAAUUAUAGUCAUAUCAAACUAUGGAUGUGAUGCGCAUCAGAGGAAGGCAGCAGCACAAGUUGGUGUGGCUGUUGUAUGAGACUGGAUGAUGAUAUGUGCAGACAUGCUUUACAGGAGCACCCAUCAUCCCCUGAGGCUACAGUGACAGCAAGAGGGAGCCCACAUACCAAGCUGCAGGUCUGUACUUUGGUAUAACAAAAAAUAGACCAAACCAGACUUCUGAUUGUCUUUCUUCACCAUUAUGUUUUAGUGCACAGAAGAUAACUUGUUAUUCCACGUUUCUUUGAUAUAAAAAGC
This 1929-nucleotide long non-coding RNA is filed under the name Xyrichtys novacula (pearly razorfish). The record is from RNAcentral. Lineage: Eukaryota; Metazoa; Chordata; Actinopteri; Labriformes; Labridae.